This 344-nucleotide long non-coding RNA is filed under the name Durio zibethinus. Its description in RNAcentral is "long non-coding RNA (DZIB_LNC001580)". Lineage: Eukaryota; Viridiplantae; Streptophyta; Magnoliopsida; Malvales; Malvaceae. The record is from RNAcentral.
AUCAUUACAAUUGUUUCUAAAAAAGGGCGUGCAAAAUAUGAUUUUACCAUCUUUUUGAUGAAAAUAUCCUUAACUAAGGAACCAUGGGGGGCCAGGGCCCCAUCUUAUUCCAUAAAUAUCUUCCUCUCCCUCCAUUUCAGUUCAACAUAAAAUUUGAAGCUCUAAUUGGAAUAAUCCAUGGUGGUUGAGAAAGAACUUUGCAAUUUUGCUUUUAUGCUAAACCAUGUUUUGGAGCAUCAAGAAGCAAAAGCCACAGUACUUGAUACAAGCAGAGGAGCUAAUAAAGCAGUUUGUGUGUAAAUUUCUCAAAACAUCCCCUUUUGAAACAAAAAAUUCAGUUCAAU